GAAAACAACAGCACAGCUGUGACUGAUCAGAUGACCACACAUGCUUCAAAAACCGGUGAACCGAAUGAUUUAAUGUAUGGCAGUGUCUCUCACAAGAAACCCAGAAACCAGCAGAGAGCUGGAGAUGAAGACGAGGUUCAGUACGCCAGCGUCCAGCACCACAGAAACACCAGGAACGUGACUGUGGAGGACGGAUGUCAGUAUGGAGAUGUGAGAGAUCACCGUCCAGCUGUUUCUGCGGGAUCAAAUGCUGAAAGUGCGGAUGAUUCCUCUGUGAUUUACAGCAGCAUUAAAGUUGCAUGAAGAAUUGUAGCAUGUGACCACUGAACAUGCUCCUCCCUUUUCCUCCAUUGAAGUAGGCAUGAAAUAGAAGUUGCAACUAAAAAGUGAUUCCGCUUAACAAACAAGGCUUUAUUUUAACCAUUGGAUAUAAAUGGAUGGAUGGUUCACAGUAAGAUGCAUUAAGAAACAAGUAUAGGGUCAAUUUUAAUUUUUCAUUUGUGUCUAAAUGUGCUUGUGUGACCGUGUGCAGUGACUUUAAAUACAAACAUUUGUGUGAGAAACAGGAAGUGUAACUAAAAGCUGUAAGCAAGCCUAAGCAAAAUAUCGAUUUCUGAAAGGAGGAAAGGCUUCAUUACACUGAAUAAACUGCUUUUGUGAGGAACCUUAAGUUAACUAUUUAAUGAAUCAAAAUCCUAUCAGCUAAUCUUUGCCAUUAUAUGUUCGUUUUUUUCUCAAAGCAAACAUGUUUCACAUAUUCUCACACAAAUUUUUAACAAUAGUGGGGAUGAUGCUUUUAUUUGCCUUUAAAGGAUGCAUGCAUGUUUUUGAGCUCUUCGUGUGUUGUUUGAAACUCUAUAUUGUAUAUAUUUCUAAAGUCGAAUUGACUUGUUGAGAAGAGGGUGCAAAUACAGAGAAAGAGGAAGGCCGGCGUUCAUUUUAGAUGUGAUACUCAUUAACAGUUCAGCAGUUUAACACUUCCCGUCAUGCCGCUGUUAUCAUUUGUCAUCUGUGGCCAUUCACUGUGAGACUGAGAGUUUAUACUGUGUUAUAACUGUGUAGAAAGGAUUGAGUAAACAAUAAAAUAAAGUAUAUUGUGUGUUUGGUGAA
Cyprinus carpio (common carp) is the source of this 1110-nucleotide long non-coding RNA. RefSeq lists it as uncharacterized. NCBI's taxonomy places the organism in Eukaryota, Metazoa, Chordata, Actinopteri, Cypriniformes, Cyprinidae. The transcript is spliced from 2 exons. The record is from RefSeq and is a predicted model, not a curated record.